Molecule: ribosomal RNA, 468 nt
Filed under: uncultured bacterium
Lineage: Bacteria
Description: partial 16S ribosomal RNA
Rfam family: Bacterial small subunit ribosomal RNA
Source: RNAcentral
GACGAACGCUGGCGGCGUGCUUAACACAUGCAAGUCGAACGGAAAGGCCCUGCUUCUGUGGGGUGCUCGAGUGGCGAACGGGUGAGUAACACGUGAGUAACCUGCCCUUGACUUUGGGAUAACUUCAGGAAACUGGGGCUAAUACCGGAUAGGAGCUCCUGCUGCAUGGUGGGGGUUGGAAAGUUUCGGCGGUUGGGGAUGGACUCGCGGCUUAUCAGCUUGUUGGUGGGGUAGUGGCUUACCAAGGCUUUGACGGGUAGCCGGCCUGAGAGGGUGACCGGCCACAUUGGGACUGAGAUACGGCCCAGACUCCUACGGGAGGCAGCAGUGGGGAAUAUUGCACAAUGGGCGGAAGCCUGAUGCAGCAACGCCGCGUGCGGGAUGACGGCCUUCGGGUUGUAAACCGCUUUCGCCUGGGACGAAGCGUGAGUGACGGUAAUGGGUAAAGAAGCACCGGCUAACUACGUG